Gymnodraco acuticeps is the source of this 340-nucleotide long non-coding RNA. RefSeq lists it as uncharacterized. The transcript has 3 exons. NCBI's taxonomy places the organism in Eukaryota, Metazoa, Chordata, Actinopteri, Perciformes, Bathydraconidae. The record is from RefSeq and is a predicted model, not a curated record.
GAUGCAGGCUUGAUAAUCUCACUCCACAGGUGUGCAACCGUUUUUCGGGCAUGGAGGAAACAACGUCAUACAAAUGGACUGUGGUAAAAACCAAGGCACUUAUUGCUUUAAGAAUGGAAAAGGAUGACCUGUUCUGCAAAAAACGCAAUGCUGCCAAAGAAGCAUGGGAGUCAAUCAUUAAGGAACUGGACCUUGGGCAACAUGUGUCUCACAAACAGGCCUCCAAGAAAUGGGAGAACCUAAAAAAGAAAUACAAGGUAAAUGGUGUAUUGUUAUUGUAAAACAUGUUUGUUUUUGAAAAAGCUGAACAAAGAUUUCUAACAUGCAUUUGUUUGCAAUA